UGCCGAGCGUUUCCGAUCUCAAAGCAAAUUGGAUGAACUUUCGAAACUUGGAAGUCUCUGAUUCUUCGAUCUCGUCCCCGCGACUCGGGGGAAGUAGGAAGUAAACGCGGCGUGAACCGUAAAUCCUGCCAAAACGUGAACGCGACGAAAGUUUCAUGCUCUCAUCGUGAAAUAAACGAGCUGUUUGUUACGAAAGUGAUGUAAUUCCAUCGUCGAGGCUCGGAGGGAGGACUAGAAACGUGAUUAGGGAUUUUCUAGUAAUCACGAUAUACGACAACGUGACCAUUAUCUUCUUAGACAGGGAAGUGUCGGUGAUGGGAAUGUUGGCAGGCCUGCAAGAGGGAGAUUGGCAAGAACAAGUCGGUAUAUUAAUUUGAUUGAUGAUGCGGUGGCUCACGAUCCAAACGUAUCGCGCAGCUUCAAUAAUGCAAACGGUAGACAACGAUCCGCCAAGUCCACCGGCGGUUAGAGCAGUGCUUAGAACGAGGGACAAACGAUUCGAUUCAAUUAAUUCGGAUGCAUCGUUCCGGACGGUCGCGGUGUAGAAACCAUGAGCAGUAAACAAGGGUCCACGUUAUAAUUCGCGGACUCGGGGCCCAGGCGUAUACAUAGAUACAGGCGCACGCACGUACCCGCCAACUGCCAGUGAAUGACGCAAAACACGCGGAUUAUUUUGUCGCGACGACUUUAUUUCGAGACGCGCCGCAUCGCUGCGUCGAAACGCUCGUUUCGCUCGUUUCGCUCGUUUCGCUUGUCGAGCUCUCGAAAUCUCGGUUAUUCCUUUUGGCAUGCGAGAAAUCGUUAUUCACAGACAUUUUGGUAGUUGGUCUCACUUGGAGAGAAAAUGUCAAUGUCUUGGUAACUGCUGAUUAGUUUUUGUAGUUUCAUGAUGUAUGAAGGGAUUUUAUUUUAAUAUCGAAGGAAGGGAUCGAUUACGAAAAAUUAAUCGCCUCUGCCAAUGUUACAUUACGCGCCAUCGUGUUAAUAUUUGCUUUGUUCAUUUUGGAAAGAUAAAACUCCGUGGUCGUGUCAUUGCUUCAAGUUAUAUGUAUAAGAGGACGUGAUCGUGGCCGAGAAAGCGUUACUGAUACACGACAAAUCGGGAGAUCUUUAAGGGACAAAUCGUGCGAGGUUCAGCGCACGUUCCAAAGAGGCGCGGCAGAAUUGUUGCCCUGAAUACAAAAUGACUAAAUGAGUCAAAUAACGCGUAUCCCGACCGAGCAACUCGUGUCGUAAUAUUUUAAUGCUACAUACUCUCCCUCCUCGCGUUCCUGGUUACUAGUUUCACCGUACGAUUCAUCGUGCUGAGUUAUGAAAUUACGCGAUAGCCUAACCUUUCUGUGGUACAGUGGGAAAUUAGUUGGAGGGCGUACAGGUAAGAAGAAGCUUGUUAGAUUCUUCAAAGUCUCGAAGCCAUAGGAAAAUUAUAAAAAGAACCCAGUAAGAUCCCGAGGGGCGGGCAUUGAUGGUGUCAGAGAAGUUUUUGAUUUGGCAGCUUCGAAACUAUACUGGCACAGCCAGUUUUCCACGAAUCAACGGCUAUCGAGGAAUGCCGGCAGUUUGGAAAAAUAAAAUCAAUGGCUACAGUGUGUGUCGAAUCUCGUGCGAUUCCAUGUGGAACGGCUCGUAUACCACACGUACAGUUUCUACUGAACCAGUUUCUCUCUUUGUGCACAACAAUACAGGGAGGCUAACACGUGCAUGUACACACCGCGAGGAAUGGCGCAGCACAUCAUAGUCAGGACCACUACAUAGCGCACCAACAUGUGCGAUGGCUGUGUAAACAUUGUAAACACUGAUCGUGCCGUACAGUGGCUCUCACGCAAAGAAAUUCAUCGCGAGGUUCAGGUGAAUCUCUCCCCUGAUCGAUCGCUGCGCGACUCGCUACGCGAAUCACGAACAGGCUCUGUUAUGUACUUGGACGAGAUGAUUACUAUUGGAAUUGCAAAAUCAAUUUACUUUUUACAUUGUAAGAAUCAACAUUUAUCCCAAGUGUAUCCUCUCCGUUAUAAUUAAUUCCUAUUUGUGACAAAGGUUGUUUCACCUAUUGCAAAUAAAGUAAACGAAUGUAAAAGAAAUGGUAUAAA
Long non-coding RNA from Hylaeus volcanicus, 2087 nucleotides. RefSeq lists it as uncharacterized. Lineage: Eukaryota; Metazoa; Arthropoda; Insecta; Hymenoptera; Colletidae. The record is from RefSeq and is a predicted model, not a curated record. The transcript is spliced from 3 exons.